RNAcentral lists this long non-coding RNA (3442 nucleotides) under Equus caballus (horse). RNAcentral describes it as "lncRNA (ENSECAG00000058446.1)". Lineage: Eukaryota; Metazoa; Chordata; Mammalia; Perissodactyla; Equidae. The record is from RNAcentral.
CCCCACCACCAGGCUGUUUGGCCUCUGUCUACCGGGGAUUCUACUCGGUGCUGAGGGAGUUCAGAGAAGGGCUGUCACCAUCGUAAUUUGGAGCCCAAAUAGAUUUGGGUCAGAGGACAUCUCAGGAGACUCAGGGUUCACCAGUCUUUGCCAUGGGUGACUGUGUUUGGCCAGCUUUCAGCACACAGUAGGGGCUCAAGAAAUAUUUGUUGAAUGAGUGACUCAAUGAUGGAAGAAAUUAAUGAAAGCCUGAAUGUUGACGAACAUCUCCUUCUGGAAGGAAGGAGAUCAAAAAAAAAUAACAAAAAGCUCAGGAAUCCAUGAACAUAAUGUUGAAUGAAAUAAGCCAGAUACAAGAGAAGGUUCUGUGUGACGACAUUUGUAUAAAGUUCUAGAACAGGCAAGAUAAAUCUAUGGUGACAGGAAUCAGAAUAGUGGUUACCUGGGGUCUGGAAGGAACGGACAGAGCUGUUCCCUGUCUACUCAAUAUCUGUUCCCCUCUCCCCUGCAGCUAGUGUAGCCACUUGAUAAAGUUCUGGUCAAUGAGACAUGUGAUGGCUGGAUCUCUGGCUGUCCUACUGGAUCAUGAGGACUAGGACCACACUCAGAGGUUAGAAGAGCUGGGAACUAGAUUUCUAACUACUCCAUGGAGCUGUCACACCAGCCCUGGAUCGCUUACCUGCUCACCUCUAGACUUCUUUUAUGUGAGAGAAAGAAACGGCUCUCUUGGGUUAGCCACUGUUAUUUUGCCAUUUUCUGUCACAUGAAAUUUAACCUCGCUGCCCCACAACCCUCUGAAGUUGGUAUUAUUACUGUUGUGCAGAUGAGGACAUGGAGCCACAGAUUAAAUCCUUGCCCGAGGUCACGUGGCUGGAAAUAGGGAGAGCCUGGAUGUGAGUCCCAUGCUGUGAGGGUUGUGGAGGCCAUUCCUUCUCUGGAAGCCACUGGGCACACCUCACUGUUCUCUCAUGCCCAUUUCCUGGGGUCCCCAGACAGCACAGCCCGCGAUCACAGGAUUUAGGGAGUCAUAAUCAUAGGCCUGACAGUUGAGCCCCACCCACAUGAUGUCAUUGGCCUGCCCCCACCAGAGACUACGAGAGGUAGAGUCACCUUCUCCUUUUACAGCUGCGAGAAUUGAGGCUGCGAUUGCUGAAUUUACUCUUCCAGCGUCACAGAGCUAGGAAAUGGCAGAGUCGAGGUUUGAACGAGGGGCCCCUGCCAGCGAAGCCCACAUUCUUAACUCCUCGGCCACACUGCUACCUCAGAAGCCAUGUGUUUCGGUUUCUCAUCAGAUUCCGAGAGCUCCUUUACAGCCCCUGCCAAAUGGCUGGCUAGCCUCCACUUACACACCUCCAGUGACAGAGAGCUCAUUAUCUUACAGGCCUGCAAAAGAGAAGCUUGAGAGGAAGGGUUCUAGUCCCCAUCCCAGCCUCUUCUUUCUCCUGCCUGGUCUCAGCCAUCCUGUGACUGCCCAGUCUGCACCCUGGAGACUUUUCCCCCGAAGCAGCCUUUCUCCUCCUUGUUUAGUCCCUCAGGCUCAAUGGACCAGUAUGGGGGUGAUAUCUUCACAGUGGCUUUUGUUUCUCUUCCUGUUCCUUUGAAGAGGACGCAAGACUGUCAUGUUGUCACUUGGCAACAAUUCAACAAAUGUGAAAUGUCCCUACCCUGUGACCCAGCCGUCUCUCUCCUUGUACACACGCCCAAAGAGGGAGAAAGCUCAGAGCAGCACGGUUGGUGACAGCAAAACUUCGGAAACACGAAGUAUCCAUUGAAAGGUUAGGACAUCAGAGUGCGUCCUUCGGGUGGAAGAUGCCACAGCAGUUUAAAAGGUUAGGAUUGAGGUAUUCACCCAAGAGACAGGCGAACACAAGCCCAAAUAAAGACUUGUCUGUGAAUGUUUACGGCAAUGCUAUUUGUAAUAGCCCCAAACUGAAAACAUUCAAAUGUCCGUCAACUGGUAAACAGAUAAGCAAAAUGGAACGCAUCUGUGCAAUGGAAUAUUAGCCAUAUAAAGGAUGACGUGAAGCCUACAGCAUGGAUGAAACUCCAAACAGUUAUGCUCAUAAAAGAAGUCAGAUGCAAAAGACCAAGUAUUGUACGAUUCCAUUUACGAAAUGUUCAGAAAAGGCAAACCUAUAGAGACAGAAAGUUCCGUGGUUGCCUGGGGCUGAGGGUGAGGGCAGGGACUGACUUGCUAACGGGCAAAAGGACAUUGUUGCAGGGGCGGAAAUGUUCUAAAACUAGAUGGCGGUGAUGGUCGCAAAGCUCUAUAAAUCUAUUUAAAAUCAUUGAACUAUAUAUUCACGGUGGGUGAAUUUUAUAGUAUGUAAAUUAUACCUCAAACUUUCUUUAAAAAGAUGAGGGAGAAAUGGGAAAAGGGAUAAAACAUUAAGUAGAAAAAAUAAGAUGUCAAACAAAACAUACAAUUCCCAUUUAGGUAAAAAAAAAAUAAGUGAAAUAAAACCCUCCCGUAGGAACAUGAACGUUUAUAAACAAACGCAGAGACUCCUGUCUUGAAAGCGCCACCCCACGCCUUUGACAACAGAUCCUUCUGGGGAGGAGAGCAGGAAUGGAGGGCUGGAGAGGCGGACUUUUACUUUUUAAUUUAAAAAAAUCAAGCGGGGGGGAAAAAAGAAAGAGAGAAAAGAAGCAAUGCAGAGGAGAGAGGCUGGAGGUUGCAAUCCAUCCUCUGGGACCUUCUUUUACAAUCCCGGGCUGACGGAGUGAGGGAGGCGGAGUCGUGGGCAGUAAAUUGACGUGUGUAAACUCUGGAAGGACUUAGGAAUGAUCAGUUCCUUUGCUCUGAAGGUGGAGAAACUGAGGCCCAGGGAGAGACUGAGGCCUGUGCAACCCCACAGCUCCCUGGGCUCAGGCUCAGGCCCAGGCUGAAGUCCAGGCCUCGGACGAAGCUCCCAGCUCUGCCCCCGCACUGCGCUCUGCACAAAUUGUUUCGUGUCUCCGGGAAGAGGGAGUUUAUAAAUUUGGCCACAUUUUGGAACAACAGAGCCAUAAAUGGACAUGCCCACAGGAGGCUGGGAGGUACCUGACCUUUGAGGCUGGGGAUGGGGAGGGGAAGGGAGGACAGGGCGGCCAGAUCCAGCCAUGGCUCAGAUUCUUGUAUUCAGGGCAAAAUAAAAUUGGAGAAAGGAGCUAGUCCAGAGGGCAGCUGCAGAUGAAGCUGGUAAACAUGGAGGGCCAGAUGGGCCUGGCUCAAAUGCCCCCUUUGCCACUGUCUGGCUGGGUAACCUUGGGCAAAUACCUUCACCUCUCUGAGCCUUAGUGCUCACCAAACCUGGUGAAUGAUGGGAACAUGUGGAAAGGUUGUGAAAAUGCAGAUGACCAUGCUCCAAUUACAUCUUACAGAGAAUCAAACUCUUCCAGGAUGGGGUCUAAGCAACUGUAUUCCAGAAGCAUCCUGCAUCACUAGAGAACUAGAAUUCAG